Molecule: long non-coding RNA, 716 nt
Organism: Panicum virgatum (switchgrass)
Lineage: Eukaryota; Viridiplantae; Streptophyta; Magnoliopsida; Poales; Poaceae
Exons: 2
Source: RefSeq, a predicted model, not a curated record
GCCGGUCGCCGCCGCCGGCUGCGGGCUGCACCGCUGCAGGCCGCCGCUCGUCAGCCCCGGAUCCGUCCGUUCCAGUCGUCCUGGGGCUGGGGCGGCCCUGCAGUGCCGCUGUGCCGGCGCCGCGCGUCCAGGCGCCCCCGCCGCGGCUCGGUGCCACGCCAGGUCGCCAGCGGCCAGGGGCAGGCCGCAGGGGCAAGCCGGCGCGCUCGGCGCACCGCGCACAGCGGCCAGGCACGCACCUCAGCUGCCCGAGGUAGAGGCGGCUGCGGCAUCGACGGCUCAAGGAAGAAGCUCCGUCUGUCCAAGGACCAGGCGGCUGUGCUCGAGGACAGCUUCCGGGAGCACCCCACUCUCAACCCUGUAAGUAACCAUCAUCCUGUCCGGCAAGAGCAGACUAGUCAUCAAUGGAUGAACAGCGGGCCUCAAUCAUUCACUAGCAAGCUGGCUGAUCUCGAUCUAAACAGAGCUGCUUUAUGGCGUGCAGCGGCAGAAGGCAGCCUCAGCCGCCCGAGGUAGAGGCGGGCCGGCGGACUCCAGAUGGAGCGACGGACAGGCCGGACGGAGCGACGGCCUGAGACAGGAAGCCGGCAAGUGUCUGAGCUCGGUUCGCGAAGAAGACGACCAGAGACAGUGAACCAAGGUUUAAACUAUGAAAAGGAAGAGGGGUGGUAGUGCCGCCAUUGAUUUGAAAUCUUUCUUGCAAAGAGCUGCGGCAA